ACCAUUGGGAUAUUUAGAAUUACCCUAAUUAUUCAAAGGCUGCUUAAUAUAAUUAAAACGCUUUUAUACUGCACUAUCACUAUUCACUAGAGUAUUAACUGCUUACUGCUUUAGAAAAACGAUGAAAAGUGAAACCUCAUGUUGCUCAAUUCACCAAUUACUGCUUCGCCGCCCUACCGCACAUCCGUCACCCCAUCUCCCACCGUCGUUCCACCGCCACACUAUUGAACAUCACUUCACCGCACCGCACCGCUGCACCACCGCUGCACCACCACUGCACUUUCCAGGUAGCUGAUUAUGAAGAGAGAAGAGCAAGAAAUCAAAAUCUUAUUUAUCAGGAACUUUUACUAAGUCAUCCAAAGAAAGACAUGGUGACAUUGCAUAAUACCAGCCAUUUACAAAUAUAUUGACAAAACUAAUGAUCGACAAGCUUAGGGGAAGAUGGAUUUCAUAUGUUACCGGAUGCCAUCAACCAAAUGACGACAUUGAUGAUUUAUCUGGAUUGAAGAUCUAUGAUAUUGGUAUAUCUAAGCUAGAUUAUACUUUUUAAUUUAUUUUUAUCAACAUCAAUAAGAAAGGUGUUUUGAUAAAUAUAUAUAUAUUGUAUUUGUAUAGAACAAAUUUUUGAAUGAAUGAUAAAAUUUAAUUGUUGGA
Chenopodium quinoa (quinoa) is the source of this 654-nucleotide long non-coding RNA. RefSeq lists it as uncharacterized. NCBI's taxonomy places the organism in Eukaryota, Viridiplantae, Streptophyta, Magnoliopsida, Caryophyllales, Amaranthaceae. The record is from RefSeq and is a predicted model, not a curated record. The transcript has 4 exons.